AAUUCCAGUUUUGGGCAAGAAACGUGUACGAGGACCGACCCGAGGAAAGAAUGUUGAGAAGAUUAGAAAGGAACGUGGUGAUCGAAUACCCGUUACACUUAACCGUUUGACCAAAGCAAUAGAAGGGGAAUACGCCACACCGCUAGCAGCUGCUCUUGGUCAACAAAUUCGAGUUCAUGCCCCAGUUCGAAAUGAUGGAUGGCUAGAAAUUGCCUUUGGGUUAAGAGAGUCCAUUGUUACAAGAGUUGGGCAAACUUUUGACUUUGGGGACUACAAUAAUGAUGUGGAUGUGAGAUGUAUUAUUGAUCAUAAGUGCCAAACUUUGUACAGUGAAUGGAAAAGUAGAUUACACACACACUACAAAUCCCUUAAA
Molecule: non-coding RNA, 373 nt
Organism: Camellia sinensis
Lineage: Eukaryota; Viridiplantae; Streptophyta; Magnoliopsida; Ericales; Theaceae
Source: RefSeq, a predicted model, not a curated record